UGGGGAAUAUUGGACAAUGGGCGAAAGCCUGAUCCAGCGACGCCGCGUGGGUGAAGAAGGCCUGCGGGUUGUAAAGCCCUUUCGGUUGGGAAGAAAAGCUGCGACCUAAUACGUCGCAGCCUUGACGUAACCAACUAAAGAAGCACCGGCUAACUCUGUGCCAGCAGCCGCGGUAAUACAGAGGGUGCGAGCGUUAAUCGGAAUUACUGGGCGUAAAGCGCGCGUAGGCGGCUUUGCAAGCCGGAUGUGAAAUCCCCGGGCUUAACCUGGGAACUGCAUUCGGGACUGCAUUGCUAGAGUAUGGGAGAGGGAAGUGGAAUUUCAGGUGUAGCGGUGAAAUGCGUAGAUAUCUGAAGGAACAUCAGUGGCGAAAGCGACUUCCUGGACCAAUACUGACGCUCAUGUGCGAAAGCGUGGGGAGCAAA
Molecule: ribosomal RNA, 425 nt
Filed under: uncultured bacterium
Lineage: Bacteria
Description: bacterial SSU rRNA
Rfam family: Bacterial small subunit ribosomal RNA
Source: RNAcentral